Molecule: ribosomal RNA, 393 nt
Filed under: uncultured bacterium
Lineage: Bacteria
Description: bacterial SSU rRNA
Rfam family: Bacterial small subunit ribosomal RNA
Source: RNAcentral
AAGUCGUGCGAUCGGCUAGACCUUCGGGUCUAGUACGGAGCGGCGAACGGGCGAGUAACACGUGGGUAAUCUACCUUCAAGUGGGGAAUAACCUCGGGAAACUGAGGCUAAUACCCCAUACUCUUAUAGGGCAUUGUGCUCUAUAAGAAAAGGAGUAAUCCGCUUGAAGAUGAGCCUGCGUCCUAUCAGCUAGUUGGUGAGGUAAUGGCUCACCAAGGCUACGACGGGUAGCCGGCCUGAGAGGGUGACCGGCCGCAAGGGGACUGAGACACGGCCCCUAUCCCUACGGGGGGCAGCAGUGGGGAAUUGUAGGCAAUGCCCGAAAGGGUGACCACGCAAUCCCGUGUGCAGGACGAAGCCCUUCGGGGUGUAAACUGCUGUCAGGAGGGACGA